GGGUCUAUAGCUCAGCGGGAGAGCGCUUCCUUGACGUGGAAUAGGUCGUAGGUUCAAUCCCUACUAGACCCACCA
RNAcentral lists this transfer RNA (75 nucleotides) under Geotoga petraea. RNAcentral describes it as "tRNA_Val_GAC". It matches the Rfam family "tRNA". From Rfam's summary of the family: Transfer RNA (tRNA) molecules are approximately 80 nucleotides in length. Their secondary structure includes four short double-helical elements and three loops (D, anti-codon, and T loops). Further hydrogen bonds mediate the characteristic L-shaped molecular structure. tRNAs have two regions of fundamental functional importance: the anti-codon, which is responsible for specific mRNA codon recognition, and the 3' end, to which the tRNAs corresponding amino acid is attached (by aminoacyl-tRNA synthetases). tRNAs cope with the degeneracy of the genetic code in two manners: having more than one tRNA (with a specific anti-codon) for a particular amino acid; and 'wobble' base-pairing, i.e. permitting non-standard base-pairing at the 3rd anti-codon position. The record is from RNAcentral. Lineage: Bacteria; Thermotogati; Thermotogota; Thermotogae; Petrotogales; Petrotogaceae.